This 308-nucleotide long non-coding RNA is filed under the name Elaeis guineensis (African oil palm). RNAcentral describes it as "long non-coding RNA (EGUI_LNC001404)". Lineage: Eukaryota; Viridiplantae; Streptophyta; Magnoliopsida; Arecales; Arecaceae. The record is from RNAcentral.
AUCCUGGCUUUCUCUUUUCCUUUCUCCUAACCAAAUGAGAAAUUUUUACUCUCCUCUUUUUCUCUUCUUUUCUAUCUAAACCUCUGAAGUCAAACAGGGCAUCCAUGUCUUCCAUAUCUAAACAAACAGAGCAUUCUUUCUAAUGCUCACUAGCCGGCGAUUGAGUUCCGACGCAUGGUCACGGGAAGUUGUCCCGAGGCUUGGCCAGAGGCCUAGCAAGGUCCCCGGCUUCGACUUAUGGCGGAGAACGAAACAAUGGUCAAAAACGGAGAACAGAGGCGGCGGUGGUCUCGGCUCAAUUUUCGGCC